CCUACGGGUGGCAGCAGUGGGGAAUAUUGCACAAUGGGGGAAACCCUGAUGCAGCGACGCCGCGUGAAGGAAGAAGGCUUUCGGUUUGUAAAGCUCUAUUAGCAGGGAAGAAAAUGACAGUACCUGCCCAAUAAUCCCCGGCUAACUCCGUUCCAGCAGCCGCGGUAAUACGUAGGGGGCAAGCGUUAUCCGGAGUGACUGGGCGUAAAGGGUGCGUAGGCGGGUAUGUAAGUCUGCAGUGAAAGCCCGGGGCUCAACUCCGGGACUGCUUUGGAAACUGUGUAGCUGGAGUGCAGGAGGGGCAGGCGGAAUUCCUGGUGUAGCGGUGAAAUGCGUAGAUAUCAGGAGGAACAC
RNAcentral lists this ribosomal RNA (354 nucleotides) under uncultured bacterium. Its description in RNAcentral is "partial 16S ribosomal RNA". It matches the Rfam family "Bacterial small subunit ribosomal RNA", at positions 338 to 709 of the family's 1533-position model. The record is from RNAcentral.